GGGCCCGCACAAGCGGUGGAUCAUGUGGUUUAAUUCGAAGCAACGCGAAGAACCUUACCUGGGUUUGACAUCCCCGGACCGACGUGGAGACACGUCUUUGGUAGCAAUACCACUGGGAGACAGGUGCUGCAUGGCUGUCGUCAGCUCGUGUGGUGACAUGUUGGGUUAAGUCCCGCAACGAGCGCAACCCCUGUCCUUAGUUGCCAGCAUUCAGUUGGGCUCUCUAAGGAGACUGCCGUGGUGAACACGGAGGAAGGUGGGGAUGACGUCAAGUCCUCAUGGCCUUUAUAUCCAGGGCGACACACGUGAUACAAUGGACGGUACAGAGGGAAGCGAAACCGCGAGGUGGAGCCAAUCUCAAAAAGCCGUUCUCAGUUCGGAUUGGAGUCUGCAACUCGACUCCAUGAAGUUGGAAUCGCUAGUAAUCGCGGAUCAGCACGCCGCGGUGAAUACGUUCCCGGGCCUU
This 466-nucleotide ribosomal RNA is filed under the name uncultured bacterium. RNAcentral's name for it is "bacterial SSU rRNA". It matches the Rfam family "Bacterial small subunit ribosomal RNA", at positions 917 to 1382 of the family's 1533-position model. The record is from RNAcentral.